GCAUAACGCGAAGAACCUUACCAAGGCUUGACAUACACCAGAACACCCUGGAAACAGGGGACUCUUUGGACACUGGUGAACAGGUGGUGCAUGGUUGUCGUCAGCUCGUGUCGUGAGAUGUUGGGUUAAGUCCCGCAACGAGCGCAACCCUCGUUCUAUGUUGCCAGCACGUAAUGGUGGGAACUCAUGGGAUACUGCCGGGGUCAACUCGGAGGAAGGUGGGGAUGACGUCAAAUCAUCAUGCCCCUUAUGUCUUGGGCUUCACGCAUGCUACAAUGGCCGGUACAAUGGGCUGCGAUACCGUAAGGUGGAGCGAAUCCCAAAAAGCCGGUCCCAGUUCGGAUUGAGGCCUGCAACUCGACCUCAUGAAGUCGGAGUCGCUAGUAAUCGCAGAUCAGCAACGCUGCGGUGAAUACGUUCCCGGGUCUUGUACACACCG
RNAcentral lists this ribosomal RNA (439 nucleotides) under uncultured bacterium. RNAcentral describes it as "bacterial SSU rRNA". It matches the Rfam family "Bacterial small subunit ribosomal RNA", at positions 954 to 1392 of the family's 1533-position model. The record is from RNAcentral.